GGAAGAGCAACAGUCCCGUACGGAAAGUAGGAGAGGGAGUAGAUUGGAGCGUGUGCAGCUCAGCCCCAGACACCUGGGAAAGGAAGAUGAAGCUUUGUGUGGAAGUAGGCUCAUUCCCUGCACAGCUCUCCCUCUUUUCUCUUCUAGGGCUGACCAGGGGCAUUCCACAGACUGUGUGUGAUCUACAGGCAGUCAGGACUGUGCUACACCUGGUACUAAAGGCAUUUUGUAGCUACAUGUCGCCCGGAUCCUUUUACCAGAAUCACCUUUGACCGAAAAAAGAUGAGCUCUCAGAUUAAUGCUUGGCAUCAAACAGCAGCUAGCGAAGAGGGGAUUUCUCCUGUCCUGAUCUCUGCAAGAAAACACCAUCUUGCCAAAGGAAGAAACUAAGGUUUACUGAAAGAGCAGUUUCACAGCUAGUUGAUCUUUCUGCUCCUGUGUGGACAAAGGGCAUUUCUGCUUCUGAAACCUUUCUCCCUCCACCUUUCCCCUCAGAACUCCCUCUGCUCCACUUGGAGACUUUCUCCAGGCAGGUGUCUAGGUCAGGGACAGGUUGUGCAUUUCCUCAGACUCUUAUUCUCUGAAAUAAAGGUGAAAAGAACAAAA
Pogoniulus pusillus (Red-fronted tinkerbird) is the source of this 606-nucleotide long non-coding RNA. RefSeq lists it as uncharacterized. The record is from RefSeq and is a predicted model, not a curated record. NCBI's taxonomy places the organism in Eukaryota, Metazoa, Chordata, Aves, Piciformes, Lybiidae. The transcript has 2 exons.